RNAcentral lists this ribosomal RNA (506 nucleotides) under uncultured Glomus. Its description in RNAcentral is "SSU rRNA". It matches the Rfam family "Eukaryotic small subunit ribosomal RNA", at positions 569 to 1078 of the family's 1831-position model. Lineage: Eukaryota; Fungi; Glomeromycota; Glomeromycetes; Glomerales; Glomeraceae. The record is from RNAcentral.
AGCAGCCGCGGUAAUUCCAGCUCCAAUAGCGUAUAUUAAAGUUGUUGCAGUUAAAAAGCUCGUAGUUGAAUUUCGGGAUCAAUAUAUUGGUCGUGCCUCCGGUAUGCACUGGUAUCAUUGAUUUCUACCUUCUGACGAACUAUGAUGUCAUUAAUUUGGUGUCAUAGGGAAUCAGGACUGUUACUUUGAAAAAUUAGAGUGUUUAAAGCAGGCACACGCUUGAAUACAUUAGCAUGGAAUAAUGAAAUAGGACGUUUGACCCUAUUUUGUUGGUUUCUAGGAUCGACGUAAUGAUUAAUAGGGAUAGUUGGGGGCAUUAGUAUUCAAUUGUCAGAGGUGAAAUUCUUGGAUUUAUUGAAGACUAACUACUGCGAAAGCAUUUGCCAAGGAUGUUUUCAUUAAUCAAGAACGAAAGUUAGGGGAUCGAAAACGAUCAGAUACCGUCGUAGUCUUAACCAUAGACUAUGCCGACUAGGGAUCGGAUGAUGUUAAUUUUUAAUGACUCU